GACGAACGUUGGCGGCGUGCUUAACACAUGCAAGUCGAACGGAAAGGCCCUGCUUUUGUGGGGUGCUCGAGUGGCGAACGGGUGAGUAACACGUGAGUAACCUGCCCUUGACUUUGGGAUAACUUCAGGAAACUGGGGCUAAUACCGGAUAGGAGCUCCUGCUGCAUGGUGGGGGUUGGAAAGUUUCGGCGGUUGGGGAUGGACUCGCGGCUUAUCAGCUUGUUGGUGGGGUAGUGGCUUACCAAGGCUUUGACGGGUAGCCGGCCUGAGAGGGUGACCGGCCACAUUGGGACUGAGAUACGGCCCAGACUCCUACGGGAGGCAGCAGUGGGGAAUAUUGCACAAUGGGCGGAAGCCUGAUGCAGCAACGCCGCGUGCGGGAUGACGGCCUUCGGGUUGUAAACCGCUUUCGCCUGUGACGAAGCGUGAGUGACGGUAAUGGGUAAAGAAGCACCGGCUAACCACGUGCCAGCAGCCGCGGUGAUACGUAGGGUGCGAGCGUUGUCCGGAUUUAUUGGGCGUAAAGGGCUCGUAGGUGGUUGAUCGCGUCGGAAGUGUAAUCUUGGGGCUUAACCCUGAGCGUGCUUUCGAUACGGGUUGACUUGAGGAAGGUAGGGGAGAAUGGAAUUCCUGGUGGAGCGGUGGAAUGCGCAGAUAUCAGGAGGAACACCAGUGGCGAAGGCGGUUCUCUGGGCCUUUCCUGACGCUGAGGAGCGAAAGCGUGGGGAGCGAACAGGCUUAGAUACCCUGGUAGUCCACGCCGUAAACGGUGGGUACUAGGUGUGGGGUCCAUUCCACGGGUUCCGUGCCGUAGCUAACGCUUUAAGUACCCCGCCUGGGGAGUACGGCCGCAAGGCUAAAACUCAAAGGAAUUGACGGGGCCCCGCACAAGCGGCGGAGCAUGCGGAUUAAUUCGAUGCAACGCGUAGAACCUUACCUGGGUUUGACAUGGAUCGGGAGUGCUCAGAGAUGGGUGUGCCUCUUUUGGGGUCGGUUCACAGGUGGUGCAUGCCUGUCGUCAGCUCGUGUCGUGAGAUGUUGGGUUAAGUCCCGCAACGAGCGCAACCCUUGUUCACUGUUGCCAGCACGUUAUGGUGGGGACUCAGUGGAGACCGCCGGGGUCAACUCGGAGGAAGGUGGGGAUGACGUCAAGUCAUCAUGCCCCUUAUGUCCAGGGCUUCACGCAUGCUACAAUGGCUGGUACAGAGAGUGGCGAGCCUGUGAGGGUGAGCGAAUCUCGGAAAGCCGGUCUCAGUUCGGAUUGGGGUCUGCAACUCGACCUCAUGAAGUCGGAGUCGCUAGUAAUCGCAAAUCAGCAACGCUGCGGUGAAUACGUUCCCGGG
RNAcentral lists this ribosomal RNA (1343 nucleotides) under uncultured bacterium. RNAcentral's name for it is "16S ribosomal RNA". It matches the Rfam family "Bacterial small subunit ribosomal RNA", at positions 28 to 1378 of the family's 1533-position model. The record is from RNAcentral.